UGGGUUGCUCGGGGCGCGGUACCGGUCCACCUGGGUGUAUUCCGGGGCCGGCAGGGCGCGUUUGUCGAGCUUGCCGUUCGGGGUCAACGGCAGCGCGUC
Molecule: transfer RNA, 99 nt
Filed under: Mycobacterium talmoniae
Lineage: Bacteria; Bacillati; Actinomycetota; Actinomycetes; Mycobacteriales; Mycobacteriaceae
Description: tRNA-Tyr
Source: RNAcentral